Molecule: ribosomal RNA, 253 nt
Filed under: uncultured bacterium
Lineage: Bacteria
Description: partial 16S ribosomal RNA
Rfam family: Bacterial small subunit ribosomal RNA
Source: RNAcentral
UACGUAGGGUGCAAGCGUUAAUCGGAAUUACUGGGCGUAAAGGGUGCGCAGGCGGCGUCGCAAGUCAGGCGUGAAAUCCCCGGGCUUAACCUGGGAACUGCACUUGAAACUACGAUGCUGGAGUAUGGCAGAGGGAGGUGGAAUUCCACGUGUAGCGGUGAAAUGCGUAGAGAUGUGGAGGAACACCGAUGGCGAAGGCAGCCUCCUGGGCCAAUACUGACGCUCAUGCACGAAAGCGUGGGGAGCAAACAGG